AGCAGCCGCGGUAAUUCCAGCUCCAAUAGCGUAUAUUAAAGUUGUUGCAGUUAAAAAGCUCGUAGUUGAAUUUCGGGAUUGACGUGAUGGUCGUGCCUUAAGGGGUAUGAACUGUUGCAGUUGAUUUCUCACCUUCUGGAAAAACUUGAUGUCCUUUAUUGGGUGUCUUGCGGAUCCAGGACCUUUACCUUGAAAAAAUUUAGAGUGUUUAAAGCAGGCAUUUUUGCUCGAAUACAUUAGCAUGGAAUAAUAGAAUAGGACGGCAUGGUUCUAUUUUGUUGGUUUCUAGGAUCACCGUAAUGAUUAAUAGGGAUAGUUGGGGGCAUUAGUAUUCAAUUGUCAGAGGUGAAAUUCUUGGAUUUAUUGAAGACUAACUACUGCGAAAGCAUUUGCCAAGGAUGUUUCCAUUAAUCAAGAACGAAAGUUAGGGGAUCGAAGACGAUCAGAUACCGUCGUAGUCUUAACCAUAAACUA
This 474-nucleotide ribosomal RNA is filed under the name uncultured Entrophospora. Its description in RNAcentral is "SSU rRNA". It matches the Rfam family "Eukaryotic small subunit ribosomal RNA", at positions 569 to 1039 of the family's 1831-position model. The record is from RNAcentral. Lineage: Eukaryota; Fungi; Glomeromycota; Glomeromycetes; Entrophosporales; Entrophosporaceae.